GCCCACGUAGCUCAAUGGUCAGAGCGUGCGGCUUUUAUCAACCUAAACUCUAGGCGCAACCGCAAGGCUGCGAGUUCGACCCUCGCCGUGGGCU
Transfer RNA from Paracoccidioides sp., 94 nucleotides. It matches the Rfam family "tRNA". Rfam says of the family: Transfer RNA (tRNA) molecules are approximately 80 nucleotides in length. Their secondary structure includes four short double-helical elements and three loops (D, anti-codon, and T loops). Further hydrogen bonds mediate the characteristic L-shaped molecular structure. tRNAs have two regions of fundamental functional importance: the anti-codon, which is responsible for specific mRNA codon recognition, and the 3' end, to which the tRNAs corresponding amino acid is attached (by aminoacyl-tRNA synthetases). tRNAs cope with the degeneracy of the genetic code in two manners: having more than one tRNA (with a specific anti-codon) for a particular amino acid; and 'wobble' base-pairing, i.e. permitting non-standard base-pairing at the 3rd anti-codon position. Lineage: Eukaryota; Fungi; Ascomycota; Eurotiomycetes; Onygenales; Ajellomycetaceae. The record is from Rfam.